CGCCUCUUGACCACUAUAAGAGGUCUAGCCUGCCCAGUGACCAAUUUAACGGCCGCGGUACCCUAACCGUGCGAAGGUAGCAUAAUCACUUGUUUCCUAAAUAGAGACUAGCAUCAACGGCAUCACGAAGACUAUACUGUCUUCCCCCUAAAAUCAAUGAAACUAAUCCCCUCGUGAAGAAGCGAGGAUAAAAAUAUAAGACGAGAAGACCCCAUGGAGCUUUAAACGAACUUUAAUUGCUCUUAAUCUUACCAUAAAAAACGAGCACUAAUAAAAGAUAGUUUUCGGUUGGGGUGACCACGGAGUAAAACAAAACCUCCACAGUGAAUGUAAUAAUACUAAUACAAGAACUACAAUUCUAAUAAUCAAAAAAUUGACACACUUGACCCAAACACUUGAUCAAUGAACCAAGUUACCCUGGGGAUAACAGCGCAAUCCAUUUUAAGAGCCCCUAUCGACAAAUGGGUUUACGACCUCGAUGUUGGAUCAGGGUAUCCUAGUGGUGCAGCCGCUACUAAU
This 519-nucleotide ribosomal RNA is filed under the name Leptopelis aubryi (Gaboon forest treefrog). Its description in RNAcentral is "partial 16S ribosomal RNA". It matches the Rfam family "Bacterial large subunit ribosomal RNA", at positions 1829 to 2569 of the family's 2925-position model. Lineage: Eukaryota; Metazoa; Chordata; Amphibia; Anura; Arthroleptidae. The record is from RNAcentral.